This 76-nucleotide transfer RNA is filed under the name Candidatus Gottesmanbacteria bacterium. RNAcentral's name for it is "tRNA-Thr". It matches the Rfam family "tRNA". From Rfam's summary of the family: Transfer RNA (tRNA) molecules are approximately 80 nucleotides in length. Lineage: Bacteria; Candidatus Gottesmaniibacteriota. The record is from RNAcentral.
GCCCAUGUAGCUCAGUUGGCAGAGCGCAAACUUGGUAAGUUUGAGGUCUUCGGUUCGAUCCCGGACGUGGGCUCCA